This 496-nucleotide ribosomal RNA is filed under the name uncultured bacterium. RNAcentral's name for it is "partial 16S ribosomal RNA". It matches the Rfam family "Bacterial small subunit ribosomal RNA", at positions 28 to 506 of the family's 1533-position model. The record is from RNAcentral.
GAUGAACGCUGGCGGCGUGCCUAAUACAUGCAAGUCGAGCGAACGGACGAGAAGCUUGCUUCUCUGAUGUUAGCGGCGGGCGGGUGAGUAACACGUGGAUAACCUACCUAUAAGACUGGGAUAACUUCGGGAAACCGGAGCUAAUACCGGAUGAUAUUUUGAACCGCAUGGUUCAAAAGUGAAAGACGGUCUUGCUGUCACUUAUAGAUGGAUCCGCGCUGCAUUAGCUAGUUGGUAAGGUAACGGCUUACCAAGGCAACGAUGCAUAGCCGACCUGAGAGGGUGAUCGGCCACACUGGAACUGAGACACGGUCCAGACUCCUACGGGAGGCAGCAGUAGGGAAUCUUCCGCAAUGGGCGAAAGCCUGACGGAGCAACGCCGCGUGAGUGAUGAAGGUCUUCGGAUCGUAAAACUCUGUUAUUAGGGAAGAACAUAUGUGUAAGUAACUGUGCACAUCUUGACGGUACCUAAUCAGAAAGCCACGGCUAACUACGU